Molecule: long non-coding RNA, 5035 nt
Organism: Alligator mississippiensis (American alligator)
Lineage: Eukaryota; Metazoa; Chordata; Crocodylia; Alligatoridae
Exons: 3
Source: RefSeq, a predicted model, not a curated record
GUCAGGCUGGAAGGGGCCUCUGGAGAUCACAUCUCAUCCAACCCCAUGCCAGAGGCAGGAUCCUUAGCCAAACCAUCCCAGACAAGUGAUUGUCUAACCUAUUACUAAUGUAGCAGGCUUAGCUUUCAGAGCUGGGGUUGAGUCCCAGGCUGGAGAUCCUGCUGUUUUGAUUGGUGGAAGCCAUCCACCAAUCAGGAGGCAGCAACGGAAAUAAUAUUAUGCCCCUUUCCUGAGGGGAGGGGGGGGAGGAGCUCUCCUGGACCUGAUUGAAGACUGCAAACUGGCAGGUCCGGAAGAGCUCAGAGGCGGAGCCUGGAGAGUAUAAAAGGAGCUUGUGUGCCCAGCACAAAGGAGAUGUGUUGAGACUGAGAAGAGAGAAGAGCAAGGCUUAGGAGAGUGGAGGAGAGCUGCUCAGCAAGGUGAAGCAGUAGCCCAGGAAGAGCCCCUGAAGACUUCAAUCAGCGUGGAGCUGGGGACGGCUCCAGCAAUUAGGCUCUCAGUACACAGCACCAUGCACGGCGUCCAGACCCUGGGAGCUGUGUGAAGCGGCUCGGGUCUGCAACCUCUGGCAUGCAGCCAGAGACAUGGUGCACAGGCCGGUGUACAGAGCAGGAUCUUUGGAGACCCCAGGACAGCUCAGGUCCUCAACCCCCAGAACAAGGCUGGGAGCUCAGUGCAGGAGGCGCUGGGAGCCGCUUGAGGUGGCUCAGGUCUACAGCUGCUGACACGGGGCAGCAGCUCAGUGCAGACGAUGGUGCCCAGAUGGUCCGGGAACAGACCGAGCCCCGGUGCUGCAUAAGGCUGUCCAGGUCUCCAACCUCUAGCACAAGGCAAAGCACCCACUACACACAGCGGUGCACGUGGCCCUAAGCCAGGACAGUGGCAGGAAAACCCAAUGGGCAACAGAGCCUGACCUGGAGAACAAGAGGCAACCCUCCAGGACUGUGGAAUAGGGUGCACCGAUACAUCGGUCUAACAUUGAACUGGCACCGAUAUAAAGAAAAUUACCUACAUCAGAAAUCGUGCUUAAGUGGCUGAUAAUUUGGCUGAUAAAUGCACGUGCGCAGCUGCAGCGCAGCACAUGGGCAGCAAAGAGCACAGCUGGCAGCAUGGACAGCUGCUUGCAGCAGAUUCUCCGUACACUUCCUGUAUCUUCCUCGAAACGCAGGGCCCAAAACUGGACACGUUUUACCUCGCCAGUGCCAAAUAAAGCAGGAUGACUCAAAGGUGGGUAGCCCAUCACUGCUGCUUUCUGUGCACACAAGAGACCGAUGGAAAGGCACUUGGGCACCCCAGGGACACAUAAGCCUCGAGGGUAGGGUAGCAGGGAGAGGGGCAGGGCUGUUAGCUCAGCUCCUUACCCCAAAAAUGGGGCAUUUACAGGGCAAUUGCAGGGGUACCCUCCAAAUGCAUCAUGACAAAGAGGACACUGAGUGACAGGGACAGCUCAGCAGUGGGAGUCUGAAGUGGAGGUUUUGGGGCAAACACCAGGACUCAGCAGGAUUUUGGUGGCCCAGGAAGCUCCUUUCUGGACCACGGCUUUCUCCAGCACCUGAAUCCUACCAAUGGACAUGUGGGGGUCUCUCUGCACAAGCCCCGCUCCAGCCCAGGCCAGAGUUGGCAGUAGGGAGGCCAAGGGGAAGCUCUCCAGCUUGGUUAUGCAAGAUCCAGUCACAAUGGCUGAGGUCAGUCUUCUCAUAGGAUCAUACAUCAGGAUGGCUUCAAGAGACCUCCCAAAGCCACAUCUAAUCCAGACCCGUGCUCAAGGCAAGAUCCUCCCUGACUAAACCAUCUCAGCUGACCUGCUCUUGACAACUUCCAAGCACGGAGAUGCCACAAUAUCCAUAAGCAACCUCUUCCAAUGCUUGACCACCCUCGUAGUCAGAAAGCUCCUCUUCAUCUCCAACCUCCAUCUCCCCUGCUACAGCUUGAGGCCACCGCUCCAAGUCUUAUGGCCACAGAGGAAAGCCCAUCUCCAUCCUCUCUAUUCAGGUAUUUAAAGACUUGGAUCAUAUCCUUCUCCAAAUUAAAUUGCCCUAACUUUCUGCCUUUCCUCAUAAAUCAUGCUUCCCAGGCGCUUAAUAAUUAUUAUUUUUUGCUCUGCGCUGAAAUCCUUCCAAACUAUUCACAUCCUACUGGAAGUGUGGGGCCCAAAACUGGACACAGGACUCCAGGUGAGGUCACACCAGUGCUGAAUAGAGAGAAAGACCCACUUCCCUGGAUCUGCAAGCGACAUCCCAAAAUGCUGAUGUGUUGGGUUUUUUUGUGGUGGCUUUUCUAAAGUUAUUCUUUUUCUCCUACUUUGUUCUCCGAUACGCUUGUCCUAUAAGUCAUUUUGCUCUCUUGCCAUUAUUGGGAAGGGCAGCAUAGGAAACACCUAAAUAAAUCCAUUCCCAACACAGUUUGGGACUUGCAGGCCCCGUCACAGGGAGCGGGUCUUGGAAAGCCUGCAGCGGGGAAUGUGUGGGAACCACACACAAACCAGCUGCAGGGCUGGGAUCUGUGGGCAUGCAGAUAGAAAGUUGGAAAGGACAAACCUCUUCUGCAGGGAAGCAAACAGACUCAUGCUAUUGCCAAGACCAGCGAUUAGGUCCUGGCAAUACAUCAACUGCUCUCCUUAAAUCAACCCUAUUGUAAUAGAUAACCUGGGGUUCCUUUUUCUUUAAUUUUGGUUGAAGUCUUUAGCAGUUUCCUUUCCCCGCCUACAGUCAAAGUGAUGGGAUGAUGCACAUCGUUGGCAUCGGGGACUACGAUCGGGGUCAGUGGCCAGACCUGACAGCUUCGGUCACGGGGGCAAGAAACUCUGGGAGUAAGAGGCCAAGACUGAUGGCUGUAAAAGCUUGUACAUGAAAUACAAAAUAAUGGUGCCUCUUGCACCAAAGUGCAAGAUAGCAGCUGGGGCAAGAUUGGGUUGUGGUAACAAGUCUGCCACCAAGAAAAUCAAACUCCACUGAUGGCUUGCAGCCCAUUAGGUGUAAGAGAGUGGAGCUUACGGUACCAAAUACCAGACCCUUGCCAUAAGACGGUAACAGUCCUCAACCUUUCACCACACCUGAGCCAAAAACAAAUCGAAGUGUUGGUUCAAAUGAUGGGCAAAGACCUGAUGCACUCAUUACAUGCAUAUAACAUGACUCAGAGAGCAAGCCAGAAAGCCAAAAGGCCUGGGGAGAAAUGGAGGGAUGUGGAUAUGCAUCUCAACUGAGAUGCAGUGAGCUAAGUGUCACUAAAGGAAACAAAAGAACUCAAAUAUCCACUUCAAAGUAAAGCCUGUAAGAGAGAGGAGAAAAGCCAAGGUGCACUGAAAACAUGACUGUCAAUAUAUCCUGGUUAACACAUUCCCCCUCUGAUUAAGACCUAUUUCCCAAAGCAAACAUCCAAUACCCGGUCUAAAGUUUUACCAGUGUCUCCAUGCUUAUUAUGCUAAAUCGGCCUCUGUGACUGCAUCUAACCUACUUCACACCUAUUGUCUGAUCCGCACUGCCUGGCAUUUGCAUUCAUUAAGGCAUCUCCCUCAAAACAGGCCGUUAAUCUCUAAAUGUUUAUUAUGCUAAACCAGUGUAUCUUCCUGAAAUCGCACCUAAUGUACCCAACAGCCUCUGAUCCAUUUACAUUUUAACAAACCUGCUUUGGUCUAAGAAAAGGCAUCCCAGAAACUUGUAACAUCUUCCCUUAAUCAAGAUCUCUCUCAAAACGGGGGUGUAGGUUGUAGCCGUGUUGAUCUAAGGACACAGGCAGACAAGGCUCUUUGGGUACAUCUGAUUUGGGGGUUGGACUCGAUGAUCUAUUGAGGUCACUUUCGACCCUAACAUCUAUGAAUUUAUGGAUCUCUUGUAUUAGACCAGCUCAUGUAGUUGGACAAAAUCUUCUUUGCAAGCUCCACUCUCUCUUACAUCUAAUGGGUUGCAAGCCGGUAGCGUGUUUGAUUGUCUUUGCAAGCUUGCACAGAAGAAUUUGUCCAACUAUGUGAGUUGGUCUAAUAUGAGAUCAGAUUUACCCAAAGAGCCUUGUCUCUCCCUCUCUCAAAACAGGCAUUCGAUGUCUGUCAAAGAUCUCCAAAAGCCAUUUGAUGCAGCUCCAUUGUUAAAAUAACUACCCAAAGACAGACUUCUGCAAUCAGCUUCCUCAAGGGACCUCAUUCGAUCAAUACCCAAUCCCAGUCGAUCCCAAACGGAACAAAAGCUUGCAAACACCACACAGACCAGAUGCAAGUGUAAUAUGUUAAUGCUGCCCUCACCUGCUUUGUUCUGACUUUGAUUAAUCAACUCUCCAGGAGGAAUGCUUUGAAGCUACACAAUUCACACAGUACAAAAAGCAAGACAGACCUGCCAGCAAGGUGUGCGGUCCAGGGAAGAUCAGAAAGCCAUCCUGCACCUAAAAUGGGACUAUGUGAAAUGUGCUGGGACUACAGGAAGAGAGAAGAGGAUGAGGGGAAAGAAAUGGCAGGCCUCAUAUGGAGGAGAGGGGUCUGGAAUAGGCUUUUUCAGGGGCAGGCCCUCCGAGGAGGGUACGGGUACGGAGAUGGGUGCACGGAUACACAGCGCAAACUGUGUAAUGGGUUUUUUAUUGUUUAACUGUCAAAGUGUGCUUUGAUCUGCCAGGUGAACCACGGGGGCUGUUUGGCAGUGUUGGAGGUAAAGUUUAUAUAUGUAUUUAUUUAUUCUCUACUCAUUUAUAUAGAGAGAAACGAAUAGUUUUGCACCAAAAAAAAUAGCUACCCUGCAUCCAGCCCACAAGUAAAGGACCCGCACUCUGUGAAGCUGUACAAGAAUUGCUUCCUGCCUGCUCUUGCAACUAAGAUAAUGCAAGGACUAAUAACACUUCGUUUAUUGAAUAGUAAGGAAAAGUCUUUUUGGCUUUUCCUGAGUAAAUCUGAUAUCUUUUAUCAGACCAAGUCAAAUAGUUGGAAACAUUCUUCUUUGCAAGCUUUCGGGUAUAAAUACCCUUCGUCAGACCGAGGAAGCACCUGUGUUUUUCUGCUGUUUCGUUUUAUAGUUUGUUGGUAGUUAUUAAAGCAAGCCUUUCUGCUAUUCAGCAA